Molecule: ribosomal RNA, 528 nt
Filed under: Staphylococcus epidermidis
Lineage: Bacteria; Bacillati; Bacillota; Bacilli; Caryophanales; Staphylococcaceae
Description: bacterial SSU rRNA
Rfam family: Bacterial small subunit ribosomal RNA
Source: RNAcentral
UUUUAUGGAGAGUUUGAUCCUGGCUCAGGAUGAACGCUGGCGGCGUGCCUAAUACAUGCAAGUCGAGCGAACAGACGAGGAGCUUGCUCCUCUGACGUUAGCGGCGGACGGGUGAGUAACACGUGGAUAACCUACCUAUAAGACUGGGAUAACUUCGGGAAACCGGAGCUAAUACCGGAUAAUAUAUUGAACCGCAUGGUUCAAUAGUGAAAGACGGUUUUGCUGUCACUUAUAGAUGGAUCCGCGCCGCAUUAGCUAGUUGGUAAGGUAACGGCUUACCAAGGCAACGAUGCGUAGCCGACCUGAGAGGGUGAUCGGCCACACUGGAACUGAGACACGGUCCAGACUCCUACGGGAGGCAGCAGUAGGGAAUCUUCCGCAAUGGGCGAAAGCCUGACGGAGCAACGCCGCGUGAGUGAUGAAGGUCUUCGGAUCGUAAAAAUCUGUUAUUAGGGAAGAACAAAUGAGUAAGUAACUAUGCACGUCUUGACGGUACCUAACCAGAAAGACACGGCUAACUAAGUGACA